Molecule: ribosomal RNA, 1701 nt
Filed under: Acinetobacter baumannii
Lineage: Bacteria; Pseudomonadati; Pseudomonadota; Gammaproteobacteria; Moraxellales; Moraxellaceae
Description: partial 23S ribosomal RNA
Rfam family: Bacterial large subunit ribosomal RNA
Source: RNAcentral
AGCCGAUGAAGGUGUGUUGAGAAGCAUGCUGGAGGUAUCAGAAGUGCGAAUGCUGACGUGAGUAACGACAAAACGGGUGAAAAACCCGUUCGCCGAAAGACCAAGGGUUCCAGUCCAACGUUAAUCGGGGCUGGGUGAGUCGACCCCUAAGGCGAGGCCGAAAGGCGUAGUCGAUGGGAAAAUGGUUAAUAUUCCAUUACUUCUGUGUAAUGCGAUGAGAGGACGGAGAAGGCUAAAUCAGCCUGGCGUUGGUUGUCCAGGUGAAAGGAUGUAGGCAUGUAUCUUAGGCAAAUCCGGGGUACUCUAUGCUGAGAUCUGAUAGCAAGCUGUACUUGUACAGCGAAGUGGUUGAUGCCAUGCUUCCAGGAAAAGUCUCUAAGCUUCAGUUACACAGGAAUCGUACCCGAAACCGACACAGGUGGUCAGGUCGAGUAGACCAAGGCGCUUGAGAGAACUCUGCUGAAGGAACUAGGCAAAAUGGUACCGUAACUUCGGGAGAAGGUACGCUGUUGUUGGUGAUGGAACUCGCUUCCUGAGCUGACGACAGCCGCAGAAACCAGGCCGCUGCAACUGUUUAUUAAAAACAUAGCACUCUGCAAACACGAAAGUGGACGUAUAGGGUGUGAUGCCUGCCCGGUGCUGGAAGGUUAAUUGAUGGGGUUAGCGUAAGCGAAGCUCUUGAUCGAAGCCCCAGUAAACGGCGGCCGUAACUAUAACGGUCCUAAGGUAGCGAAAUUCCUUGUCGGGUAAGUUCCGACCUGCACGAAUGGCAUAAUGAUGGCGGCGCUGUCUCCAGCAGAGGCUCAGUGAAAUCGAAAUCGCUGUGAAGAUGCAGUGUACCCGCGGCUAGACGGAAAGACCCCGUGAACCUUUACUGCAGCUUGACACUGAACUUUGACCUUACUUGUGUAGGAUAGGUGGGAGGCUUUGAAGCUGGAACGCUAGUUCCAGUGGAGCCGUCCUUGAAAUACCACCCUGGUAAUGUUGAGGUUCUAACUCUGUCCCGUGAUCCGGGACGAGGACCGUGUCUGGUGGGUAGUUUGACUGGGGCGGUCUCCUCCUAAAGAGUAACGGAGGAGUACGAAGGUGCGCUCAGCGUGGUCGGAAAUCACGCGUAGAGUAUAAAGGCAAAAGCGCGCUUAACUGCGAGACCCACAAGUCGAGCAGGUACGAAAGUAGGUCUUAGUGAUCCGGUGGUUCUGUAUGGAAGGGCCAUCGCUCAACGGAUAAAAGGUACUCUGGGGAUAACAGGCUGAUACCGCCCAAGAGUUCAUAUCGACGGCGGUGUUUGGCACCUCGAUGUCGGCUCAUCUCAUCCUGGGGCUGAAGCAGGUCCCAAGGGUAUGGCUGUUCGCCAUUUAAAGAGGUACGCGAGCUGGGUUUAGAACGUCGUGAGACAGUUCGGUCCCUAUCUACCGUGGGCGCUGGAAAUUUGAGAGGAUCUGCUCCUAGUACGAGAGGACCAGAGUGGACGAACCUCUGGUGUACCGGUUGUGACGCCAGUCGCAUCGCCGGGUAGCUAUGUUCGGAAGGGAUAACCGCUGAAAGCAUCUAAGCGGGAAGCCUACCUCAAGAUAAGAUUUCCCUAGGACUUUAUGUCCUCUAAAGAGCCGUUCGAGACUAGGACGUUGAUAGGUUGGAUGUGGAAGCAUAGUGAUAUGUGAAGCUGACCAAUACUAAUUGCUCGUGAGGCUUGACUAU